Long non-coding RNA from Nematolebias whitei (Rio pearlfish), 178 nucleotides. RefSeq lists it as uncharacterized. Lineage: Eukaryota; Metazoa; Chordata; Actinopteri; Cyprinodontiformes; Rivulidae. The record is from RefSeq and is a predicted model, not a curated record. The transcript is spliced from 3 exons.
AAGCAGAGUCCAGGUGGCAGUAGGCAGCCAGAACCAGACCGAUCCAGUUUCUGAUAACCUGAACAGGACUACAAAGGAUUUUGCUGACAAACUGUAUACUGAUAAAUCUGAGGUUUCGCACAUUCCUGCAACAUCUGGCGACACUGAAAAGAUGACAAAUGAGCAAAUCCAGAGUCCG